AGCGAACGCUGGCGGCGUGCCUCAUACAUGCAAGUCGCGCGAGAAACCUCCUUCGGGAGGGAGUAAAGCGGCGCACGGGUGAGUAACACGUAGGUAACGUGCCCUUGAGUCUGGGAUAACUCGGGGAAACUCGGGCUAAUACCGGAUGAGACCGCGGGAUCCUCGGAUCCUGCGGGAAAGGUGGCCUCUGCUUGCAAGCUACCGCUCGUGGAUCGGCCUGCGUCCCAUUAGCUAGUUGGUGAGGUAACGGCUCACCAAGGCGGAGAUGGGUAGCUGAUCUGAGAGGAUGAUCAGCCACACUGGAACUGAGAUACGGUCCAGACUCCUACGGGAGGCAGCAGUAGGGAAUUUUGGGCAAUGGGCGAAAGCCUGACCCAGCAACGCCGCGUGAGGGAUGAAGGCC
RNAcentral lists this ribosomal RNA (403 nucleotides) under uncultured bacterium. RNAcentral describes it as "bacterial SSU rRNA". It matches the Rfam family "Bacterial small subunit ribosomal RNA", at positions 29 to 416 of the family's 1533-position model. The record is from RNAcentral.